CUGUAAGCCUGUGAAGGUGUGCUGUGAGGCAUGCUGGAGGUAUCAGAAGUGCGAAUGCUGACAUAAGUAACGAUAAAGCGGGUGAAAAGCCCGCUCGCCGGAAGACCAAGGGUUCCUGUCCAACGUUAAUCGGGGCAGGGUGAGUCGACCCCUAAGGCGAGGCCGAAAGGCGUAGUCGAUGGGAAACAGGUUAAUAUUCCUGUACUUGGUGUUACUGCGAAGGGGGGACGGAGAAGGCUAUGUUGGCCGGGCGACGGUUGUCCCGGUUUAAGCGUGUAGGCUGGUUUUCCAGGCAAAUCCGGAAAAUCAAGGCUGAGGCGUGAUGACGAGGCACUACGGUGCUGAAGCAACAAAUGCCCUGCUUCCAGGAAAAGCCUCUAAGCAUCAGGUAACAUCAAAUCGUACCCCAAACCGACACAGGUGGUCAGGUAGAGAAUACCAAGGCGCUUGAGAGAACUCGGGUGAAGGAACUAGGCAAAAUGGUGCCGUAACUUCGGGAGAAGGCACGCUGAUAUGUAGGUGAAGUCCCUCGCGGAUGGAGCUGAAAUCAGUCGAAGAUACCAGCUGGCUGCAACUGUUUAUUAAAAACACAGCACUGUGCAAACACGAAAGUGGACGUAUACGGUGUGACGCCUGCCCGGUGCCGGAAGGUUAAUUGAUGGGGUCAGCGCAAGCGAAGCUCUUGAUCGAAGCCCCGGUAAACGGCGGCCGUAACUAUAACGGUCCUAAGGUAGCGAAAUUCCUUGUCGGGUAAGUUCCGACCUGCACGAAUGGCGUAAUGAUGGCCAGGCUGUCUCCACCCGAGACUCAGUGAAAUUGAACUCGCUGUGAAGAUGCAGUGUACCCGCGGCAAGACGGAAAGACCCCGUGAACCUUUACUAUAGCUUGACACUGAACAUUGAGCCUUGAUGUGUAGGAUAGGUGGGAGGCUUGGAAGUGUGGACGCCAGUCUGCAUGGAGCCGACCUUGAAAUACCACCCUUUAAUGUUUGAUGUUCUAACGUUGACCCGUAAUCCGGGUUGCGGACAGUGUCUGGUGGGUAGUUUGACUGGGGCGGUCUCCUCCUAAAGAGUAACGGAGGAGCACGAAGGUUGGCUAAUCCUGGUCGGACAUCAGGAAGUUAGUGCAAUGGCAUAAGCCAGCUUGACUGCGAGCGUGACGGCGCGAGCAGGUGCGAAAGCAGGUCAUAGUGAUCCGGUGGUUCUGAAUGGAAGGGCCAUCGCUCAACGGAUAAAAGGUACUCCGGGGAUAACAGGCUGAUACCGCCCAAGAGUUCAUAUCGACGGCGGUGUUUGGCACCUCGAUGUCGGCUCAUCACAUCCUGGGGCUGAAGUAGGUCCCAAGGGUAUGGCUGUUCGCCAUUUAAAGUGGUACGCGAGCUGGGUUUAGAACGUCGUGAGACAGUUCGGUCCCUAUCUGCCGUGGGCGCUGGAGAACUGAGGGGGGCUGCUCCUAGUACGAGAGGACCGGAGUGGACGCAUCACUGGUGUUCGGGUUGUCAUGCCAAUGGCACUGCCCGGUAGCUAAAUGCGGAAGAGAUAAGUGCUGAAAGCAUCUAAGCACGAAACUUGCCCCGAGAUGAGUUCUCCCUGACUCCUUGAGAGUCCUGAAGGAACGUUGAAGACGACGACGUUGAUAGGCCGGGUGUGUAAGCGCAGCGAUGCGUUGAGCUAACCGGUACUAAUGAACCGUGAGG
Molecule: ribosomal RNA, 1696 nt
Filed under: Escherichia coli
Lineage: Bacteria; Pseudomonadati; Pseudomonadota; Gammaproteobacteria; Enterobacterales; Enterobacteriaceae
Description: partial 23S ribosomal RNA
Rfam family: Bacterial large subunit ribosomal RNA
Source: RNAcentral